This 848-nucleotide long non-coding RNA is filed under the name Bos taurus (domestic cattle). RNAcentral describes it as "long non-coding RNA NONBTAT019178". The record is from RNAcentral. Lineage: Eukaryota; Metazoa; Chordata; Mammalia; Artiodactyla; Bovidae.
UAGGAUUUAUAUCCAUAUUUUGAACUGUUGGCAGAUACCUUUAGAAUUUGUGAAACAGUAUUUGAGCUUCAUGACUCAGAAUUCUGUAAAACUUCUGGGGCUUAAAUAUUUCUAUUCAGUUUGGUCAUAACUUUGACAAUGGAUGGAUAAAACCAUAACUAUAGUGACAAAACAAAUUAUUGGUAACCUGGUGAUAAAAAGAGAGACUCCAGACUAAUUUUCUUAAGUUUUAUCAUGAGCUGUGGUGACACGUGUCUCUACUCCAUUACAGAAUCAAGUUCCUGUUUAAUAACACUUCCAUUGGGGACUUUUGUUUAUAAGUUGGUUUGGGAGCCUAAUAAUGGAUCAAAUAAAAAGAUUUAUCCCAGAAAUCUUUCUCAUGUAAUGGAUAGGAUCAAGUAUAAUCCAUAUCUUACAAUGAACAUAUAAUAAAUAUUCUAAAGGUUAUCAUCAGUUUUAUAGGUCAAGCUGAUUCUUAAAAUUGUUUGAAAAGAUAACAUUUUCCAAAAGCAGUUUCUCUAAAUAAAUCCUUUUAAGAUAGUGAUAUUCUAAAAAGGUAUAAUUUUGAGUGAUAAAAAUAAAAUGACACUGAAUUUUCUAAAGGAAUCAUUAAUACACUAGUUGAAUGUCAUAUUUAUAUAGUUAAUAAUCCUAAAAGCAAAGUACUAGAAUAGCAUUGAUUUGCACAUUUUAUACACGCAUGCUACUUUUUAAAUCAAUUUGCUUGAAGACAACUUUUAGCUUUUAAAAUUGGUAAUAUGCAUAUUUCAUAUAAAGAUGAUCUCAAGAAAUUUCAUUCACAAUAUAGGCUUUCAAAACAUGUUCACAGGACUAGAGUGAUUACCAUG